GAUGACAGAAUUUGCCCACGAAGGACCGCCGCUCACAACAAGCAGUGUGAUGUUUUGGGACAUCUGUGCUCCGAGGGUGGCGACCCAGACCAUGGCCGACCAGAGGAAGGCAGAGGAGAAACCCCUGGAGAAUCCUCACAGAGUUCCCAACACCUUCAAACACCUCAACCUGGAAACCACUAUUCAGGGUUUCCCUGCCCAAGAUCAAUACCGACGCAGAGUACAGCCCUUUGAAAUUCAGCCUGCGAGACAACACCUGUGACAACCAUACAGCAGACGGGGCCACGGUGGAGAGCAUCAGAAGCUUCAAGUUCUUCAGCGUGCACAUUACUAAGGACCUGAAACGGUCCCUUCACACCGACAGCAGGCGGUGUGAAGCAGGCUACAGCACCUACUUCAACCUCAGGAGGCUGAAGAAGUUUGUGGCCCCUAAGACCCUCACAAUUUUCUACAGAUGCACCAUCGAGAGCAUUCUGUCGGGAUGUAUUAUCACAUGGUAUGGGAACUGAUACAGCCCAACGCAUCAUCGGGGGCACACUGUCUGCCCUCCAGGACUUCUACAGCACCCGGUGUCACAGGAAA
Molecule: long non-coding RNA, 582 nt
Organism: Salvelinus sp. IW2-2015
Lineage: Eukaryota; Metazoa; Chordata; Actinopteri; Salmoniformes; Salmonidae
Source: RefSeq, a predicted model, not a curated record